This 4780-nucleotide long non-coding RNA is filed under the name Sus scrofa (pig). Its description in RNAcentral is "lncRNA (ENSSSCG00000062800.1)". The record is from RNAcentral. Lineage: Eukaryota; Metazoa; Chordata; Mammalia; Artiodactyla; Suidae.
GUAAAUAAGUUCAUUUGUAUCACUUUUUUUUAGAUUCCACAUAUAUGUGAUAUCAUGUGAUAUUUGCCUUUCUCUGUUGGGCUUACUUAGGAUAAUCUUUAGGUCCAUCCAUGUUGCUGCCAAUGGCAUUAUUUCAUUCUUUUUUGUGGUGGAGUAGGAUUCCAUUGUAUUCAUGUACCACAUCUUCUUUAUCCCUUCAUCUGUGGAUGGACAUUUAGGUUGCUACCAUGUCUUGGCAAUUUUAAAUGGUAGCACACAUGUUUUUGCUGGAAUGAAACGUAAGCUUUGGAGAUCCAGAGUCCACGGCAGGGGAAGAGCAAAGAGGGAGUGGAUGAGUUACAAGGACAAGUGUGGUCAGAGGCAGCUUGCCGAGUCACCUCUGGGCCAGGAAGGAGAGGCAUGUGGUGAAAGCCUGGGUGUCCUUAGCUUACGUCACAUGUCUACUUCCAUUUGUGAUUUCCAAAAAGAGAUACGAAUGGCUACGGGGAACAAACAUCUCAGUUUGCAGGCAUGAUGCUUCUGAAUGAUGCAGAAUAAAAGGGACCAUAGUCUCAGAGCCCACUGGGAUGGUGUCGCUUAGUGAUCUGGGCAGGUACCUACCUCCCAGGUGCGUCUGCACGCAGGCUCUGCGUUCAAGGAAGGAGCUCCCGAGGCCUCCUUGACACCACCUCCUCCCCCGUGGAUCUCUUUUCCGUUUCUCAAACCCCAGUAAAGAAAGCCUGCCAUUCAACGGCGUGCAUCUGCACCCCCCACCCACAGCGACUCAAACCCACAAUUGAAUUGCCAGGCAAUCUGAAGCCCUGCUGAUUCCCCAUAAUUCAGGCAAAGCACAUGGGAGCCCUUUAAAGAUCCAGGCAGGCUACAAUCAAGCCACUCCACGCACACGUCUCUAAUAGUACAGUAAUCAGUGGUAAUCACCCAUACAGUUUAUGUACAGGAGGGCCUAAUAGGAUUCAUGCCUCUGCAGUGAAUACAUUUUCAUUUAUGGGACUAAAUGCAGGCAUACAUUACCUGUUUAAUUAAAAACAAAAUGCUCCAGCCAACAAUUUGUUCCCUCUCCCGGGUGCAUGCUACAUAUAUUACCGAUGUUUCCUUUAAAUCUACCGAUUACAUGUUCCUCCAGCAGUGACUGCCUACCAUUUGCGAAGGUAAACCUCCGCUCCUGCUUUCUCUGUGCUGAGAGAUCAGGGUCCCUGAGUUCCUUGCGUGCAGACGUGCAGCACAGGUUCAGGUGUCCAGACAGGUGAGGGCCCGUGAAAGGGCCAUGUGUGGACAUACAAUGCCAGAGGGCAGCGGUUGCCAGGUCAGGUCUGGGGAACAAUCACUCAGCUCAUGAUUUAUAAGAAUCAUUUAAUAACUCUUGCUUUUUGUUUUCUUUCUGGUUUUCCUCUUCUUAGCCUCCGUCCUAGAUGCGCAUCCGUUUGGGAUGCUUCUCUCAUUGAAGGAGAGCAGACGUCUCAAAUAAAUGGAUGGCUUAAUGGACCGUCUUGCUGGGCCCUACGUAAGGACAGCGGUCAGAGACUAAACUGGGAGCAGGGUCAGGUGGAGAAAGUGGCAUCACCAGCUGUCACCAGGCCUUGAAGGCAUCCAGGUAUGCUCUUCCGUGUUGGCUGUGCUUUCGGCGCUAUUGUGUUUCUGAUCUUGAAUUUUUUUCCUUCCCUAAAUGCGAUUACUCCGUGACUUAGGUUAUGAGGAUGAACUAGAGGACAGAACUUCUGCCUUCCUGGAGCUCCGGCUGUGGGAGGAGGGCAGAGAGAAGGUGAAAAGGAUAGUCAAAUAAUGUAGUACAUUUUCUGCAGAAGAUGAUUGAAGGUGAUUUAAAAGAAUGAUUCCAGUCCACGCUAAUAAAGGUGAAACAAGAUGGAAUUUAAGGGUAAAAACAAGAUGAGGGGCAUGAAAUAGUGGUAGGAAUGGUGCACCUCCCAGGCUUAGGGAGACCUGCCUGCCGCAGCCUGGCAUGUGGAUUGGUGAUGGACGAUCCCAUAGAAACAAAGACUCUUUAAAUUGAGACUUUCCUGCUUUUGUUCAUUUGGUUUUGUUUAGCAGUGCCUUAACUUCUCCUAACUUCUGUUUGCUUGUCCAUAAACUGGGAAUAACGAAUCUGUGGCAGGAUAGUAUUUUGAAAUAUUAACUCAGGCGUAUCCCCUGGACUUCCUCCCAGCCCGCAUCCAAGGUUGGCCCUUGGCCGUCAUCUGGUAACUUGGAUUUUUGGGACGUUCCUGCCACUUUAACUGAAAAGAGUAGCCACAUCGUGCCUGAACUGUUUACAUGGACAAUGUGGUGUAUGCACAGUUGUCUCCCUUCUGGGAGUCUGGGAGGUGGGGGCACGCAGGAUAGAGGAUGCCUGCGUGACCAGCCCCCAGCAACCUUUGGCCCUGAAUUUCUAAGAAGCUUCCCUGGUAAAGAGCAAUUCACAUGUGGUGUCAUGACUGGUUGAUGGUUGAAGCACAUCCUGUGUGAUUCCAGCAGGAGAGAACUCUUGGACACGUGCACUUGAUUUCCCUGGACUCGGCCCCACGUGUGUUGCUUUGUACCUUUCCUUUUAUUCUAACACAUCAUAACCAUGAGAGUGACUCUAUGGAGGUUCUUAGCAGUGUUCCUUGAGUCUGGGAGUGGUCCUUGGGACCCCGCCUCCACCACAUAGUCAGCUAAAGAUUCUUUUAGAAGCGAACGCACAGAUCAUAGCCAUCAAUUAUUGGCUUUUGAGUCUUGAAAGCCUAGGCUGAGAGGCUCAGAUGCACUGAAUGGUGAGCAUUCAUGAUCCGCGCCUCCCUCUCCUCCACACCAAGACUCAAAUGUAUUCCUAAGGAGAGGGAAGAGGAGGAUGCUAGGGGAGAGUGGGCACUGAGUGUAGAGGCCCUGAGGUUGGUCUCUAGGUCUUUCUCUCUGUCGAGCUGAGCCCUUGGUAGGUGAUCAUGACCUUGCAUGUGAACACAGGUGCAGUUCGAGGGGAUCUAGAAGCAAGGGGGCCUGGACCGCCUUUGGUGGACUCUGAGGAGCUUCCAUGACUCAGGGGAGACUUGGGAGAAGGGGGGCUUAGGGAGACUGGCCUGCCACAGCCUGGCAUGUGGAUUGGUGAUGGACGAUCCCAUAGAAACAAAGACUCUUUAACAGGGCAGGAUGCCGGUGAGGACAGAUGGACUCACCCAGCGGCAGAGGCUCCCCCCUUCCAUCCCAGGCUGUCUGCUCACGUCUCCCUUGGUACCAAGCAAGCCCCUCACGAUAUAGACACAGCCCCCAGGGAGGCAGAGACGACAUGGUAAUAAGGAACACUGUGUCUUGCACACGGCUGCUUUUGCAGCGUGCCACUCGUUGCUGAAAAAACACUGACUCAGUUAUUUUAAAUAGUACACAUGCCCGAGUUACUUCACACAGAGCCUGAUGCGAACACUCUACAAAUGUCUGCUGCUAUGGUGAAUAUUGAGGAAAGUGCUUGAUAAACUUGAGCAAAUGGUAGGGGUUAUAACAAUCAAGGCAAACAGUAGUCCUACGCGCAUGAACAAAAAAGAGCUCUUGGCUUUCCAGGCGGUCGUGGGGAGGGAGACUCUGAUCAGCUUCAGCCUUCCCGGGGUUCAAUAUCAAGUUGCACUGAGACCUCCAAGCUCUUUCUGAUACUAAGGAACAAAAGAUGUGUCUCUAAGUGUUCUCAUGAAGAUAGCCGUGCUUCAAAACAUACUCUUGUGAGCACAUGUUAUCAUAUCAUCAGGAAGCUUCACUGUGUCCAUCAUAAGCCUCCCUCAGGUCCACCAGUCGUACACAGAGCAAAUUCAUUAUAACUGAUUUGGGGAAGAGGGUGUGGGCGGAUGACAGAAAAGCAAGUGAGCAGUUACCACUCCAAUGAAAAGCUCCGUAAUAACAAUUAUGCUGAGGGCUGUGGGGAUGUCUCGCUUAGGCUGGGAGAGGGGGAGAAUUAGGGGAGGGCUCCUGAAGUGGGUAACUACAUUGUGAAAGCUACCUGGAGAUCAUGCAAGCAAAUGCUUCCAGGAAUGGGUGGAAUGAGGAGGAGAGCAGUGGCUGCAGAGCUCACCAUUCGUUUAUCAAACAAACACCUCCCAUGUGCCAGACACAUGCUAGUUCCUGGGGAUCUAAUGCUAAAGAAGAGGAAGUCCAUCCCCAAAGUGUCCAACCACAGGGAGAGGGCUUGUCCUUCUCAAAGCUGAUGGGUCAGGGAGCCCUUUGGGGAAGAGGGGAGGAUAGAGAGAUUGUAGCAGACAAGUGCCAGAUCAUGAAAGACCUUGAUGGCUGCACUAAGUGGUUUGAUAACAGAAGGCCCCUGGAAGAGGGUGGCCAUGUGUGCCUCUGAGGAAGCUCGCUUUGGCUUCUGUGUCUGGAACGACUGUAGGGAGGCAGGGCUGCAGGGGAUAAAGAGCCAGAGAGCCUGAUGGAUGAAUGGAUGCACUCAUCAGUGAGAAGGGGUCAGGUUCCAGAAUGGUUAAAAGUUAGGUCUCACCUUCUUUGUCACUCUACUGGAUGAAUAUGAGGGAAUGGAGAAUCUCUAGGUUCAUUUUCUGAAUUACAGUUUGGAUGCUCAACCAUGUGGGUUGGGUUGCUGUUGAUGAAGAUGAAACAUAGGAUCUCAUUUUGAGAGAAGUUCAGCAUUUACUGUAUAAAUAUGAGGGAGUUUCUACCUCUGUCCUCCAGCUUCAGCCAGAAUCCGUAAGAAGGGUCCCCAGAACUCCAUUGAGAUAAAUGGUGCAAGCUCAUCCACUCAUCUCCCACAUCGUAUAUGCAGCCUUGUGUCAUUUAGACCUCAUCUAAAUACAACUUCCUUUAUCCCAAU